Molecule: transfer RNA, 86 nt
Filed under: Candidatus Saccharimonadota bacterium
Lineage: Bacteria; Candidatus Saccharimonadota
Description: tRNA-Leu
Rfam family: tRNA
About the family: Transfer RNA (tRNA) molecules are approximately 80 nucleotides in length. Their secondary structure includes four short double-helical elements and three loops (D, anti-codon, and T loops). Further hydrogen bonds mediate the characteristic L-shaped molecular structure. tRNAs have two regions of fundamental functional importance: the anti-codon, which is responsible for specific mRNA codon recognition, and the 3' end, to which the tRNAs corresponding amino acid is attached (by aminoacyl-tRNA synthetases). tRNAs cope with the degeneracy of the genetic code in two manners: having more than one tRNA (with a specific anti-codon) for a particular amino acid; and 'wobble' base-pairing, i.e. permitting non-standard base-pairing at the 3rd anti-codon position.
Source: RNAcentral
GCGCGAGUGGUGGAAUGGUAGACACGCUAGCUUCAGGUGCUAGUGCCUGCAAAGGUGUGGAGGUUCAAGUCCUCUCUCGCGUACCA